UGGGGUGUAGCUCAACGGCAGAGCAGAGAGCUGUUAACUCUAAGGUUCCUGGUUCGAAUCCAGGCAUCCCAG
RNAcentral lists this transfer RNA (72 nucleotides) under Winogradskyella sp. Its description in RNAcentral is "tRNA-Asn". It matches the Rfam family "tRNA". From Rfam's summary of the family: Transfer RNA (tRNA) molecules are approximately 80 nucleotides in length. Their secondary structure includes four short double-helical elements and three loops (D, anti-codon, and T loops). Lineage: Bacteria; Pseudomonadati; Bacteroidota; Flavobacteriia; Flavobacteriales; Flavobacteriaceae. The record is from RNAcentral.